Molecule: non-coding RNA, 73 nt
Organism: Gymnothorax javanicus (giant moray)
Lineage: Eukaryota; Metazoa; Chordata; Actinopteri; Anguilliformes; Muraenidae
Source: the annotation of a GenBank genome assembly
GGCAUGGUGGUGCAGUGGUUAGCAUUGCCAUCUCAUAGCAAGAAGAUCGUGGGUUCGAAUCUGGCCUGGGGCC